UGAUUUGCCAAAUCCAUCUUCCUUUAAUUAUAUACUAUUGUUGUGUCUGAAAUGAGUGUCCAUGGCUGUCUGAGCUCAGCACAGCAGCCUUUGUGCUAAUGUCAAUGUUAGGUAUAGCCACCUUGAUGCAUAGGUGUCCAUAGGAAUGCUCUGAAAAUGCCAUUAAGAUCAUUGAUGAUAGAUAUAGGUAGUAUGAGAAUGCAAGUCCAGUUGGAAUGGAUGCUCAUAAGGACUGAUUUCACCAAUUGUAGUCUGCCUGCAUAGGAGAGAGAUUUUGUUCUCCAGUAUGAAAUUGUGUUGGUAAUUUUGUUGACUAACAUCGCAGUCCACUGAAGUUAGGCUAGUAGAAAUCAGAGGGAGCUCAAGAUAUUUAAUACCUAAGAGGUUUGAGUUGAUAAGCUCAGUAGAUGGGUUAAGGCCUGAGAAAAAUGUAGAACUUUUGUAGAGGUUAAUAGAAUGUGGUGAUAGUUUGGAAAAGUGGUGAAAGGCUUGCUUGAGAUUUCUUACAGAAUCAACACUGCCAUGACUCGAAGCAAUUUAUUUUUUUAUAUAUACAUUUUUAUACAAUUUUAAAAAUUAAACUCCAGCUUAUAUAUACUCAUAUAUGGAAAUUGAAUUUUAAAGAUAUCUCGAGAACUCUAUGUCUUUCUUUUAAUAGGAAAAACUAAAAAAAAUCUAUCGCUAAGCUUUUCUCUCUCUCUAAAUGCAGAUUCUGUAGUCUAGUCCCCCAAUUUAUUAUAUACGCACAUGAAUUAUGCUAUAUAAAAAUUUUGACGGAUAUAAAUUUUUCUAUCUGUUUUAAAAACCUAACCCGGGAACCGUCACUGCUGGCAUUUCUAAAAUCUUGUUAUGUUAUUUUAAUUUAUCUUCACAUGCAUCGUGACACGUGCCUUAUCGACCCAACUUUGAGCCACUCAUUUGUCACUUGAACCCCAGAUGCAUUCUUGGAGGCUUCGCUAUAAAUAUCACCCACAUUUUCCCAUUGUUUCAACAUUGUGUCAUCUCUCUUUCUCUUCCAGUGUUUUAGUUUCUUUCUCUAGAUUGAGAGGGAACGAUGUUGAAAGAUCUAUUACUGAAGCAUAUUAUCGAAGUCUCUCAUCAAUGUGGAGGAUUAUAUGUGAGGACAUAAUUAUGUGGUGAUCUGACCUUGUAUGAGAGGUUUUGGAAGCAGAUGGAGGAGAAAACCACAAUUAUGAUAUCAGGAUGUAGUUCUUAAGUUAUUUAUUUAUUUUUUUAAUAAUUAUUUUUCUUAACAUCAAAAAAUAACUUAAGGACUGCCAUCCUGAUAUCAAAUUAUGGUAUCUUAAGGAUUCAAGAAGAGCUAUUGUGGUCAGAACAUGCUAAUAGAAAUGUCUCCCAGCCAAAACAAAUACUCUAUUCUAGAAUGUUACGCUAGCUUUUUACUGCUUGAUGGUCCCGAG
Cornus florida is the source of this 1421-nucleotide long non-coding RNA. RefSeq lists it as uncharacterized. NCBI's taxonomy places the organism in Eukaryota, Viridiplantae, Streptophyta, Magnoliopsida, Cornales, Cornaceae. The record is from RefSeq and is a predicted model, not a curated record. The transcript has 2 exons.